CAUAGUCAUUGGUUUUUAUUAAUGAUACCGUCUGCUCAAUGAUUUGUUUAAAUAGCCGCAGUACCUUGACUGUGCAAAGGUAGCAUAAUCAAUUGGCCUUUAAAUGCGGUCGAGAAUGAAUGACUGCCUGGGGGGUUGCUGUCUUGGGUCGAUUAUUAAAAAUUACUUAGGGAGUGCAAAGUCUCCCGUACACACAUUAGACGAGAAGACCCUAGAAAUUUAUAUAUUUAUUUUGUUGGGGCGACAGAGUAACAACAAACUUACUCGUAAAUACGCACUUUGUUAAUGGUACAAGCAAAUUACUCUAGGGAUAACAGCAUAAUUUUGGGAAAGAUUGUGACCUCGAUGUUGGAUUAGGAAUAGGAGGGCUUAGCAAGUGCUCCUUGUAGUUCUGUUCGAACUGUGGCUCCUAC
This 413-nucleotide ribosomal RNA is filed under the name Neohelix solemi. RNAcentral's name for it is "partial large subunit ribosomal RNA". It matches the Rfam family "Archaeal large subunit ribosomal RNA", at positions 1906 to 2667 of the family's 2987-position model. Lineage: Eukaryota; Metazoa; Mollusca; Gastropoda; Stylommatophora; Polygyridae. The record is from RNAcentral.